AGAGGUUCUCGGCCUUUUGGCUAAGAUCAAGUGUAGUAUCUGUUCUUAUCAGUUUAAUAAAAACAAGAAGAGCAGGAGCUGUGUUUGAGAAGUAAGGGCCAUAAAUGGCACCGGAGGUUCAGAGCUNNN
Molecule: small nuclear RNA, 129 nt
Filed under: Suricata suricatta (meerkat)
Lineage: Eukaryota; Metazoa; Chordata; Mammalia; Carnivora; Herpestidae
Description: U2 spliceosomal RNA (ENSSSUG00005022147.1)
Rfam family: U2 spliceosomal RNA
About the family: U2 is a small nuclear RNA (snRNA) component of the spliceosome (involved in pre-mRNA splicing).
Source: Rfam by way of RNAcentral